This 333-nucleotide unclassified non-coding RNA is filed under the name soil metagenome. RNAcentral's name for it is "partial contains 5.8S ribosomal RNA, internal transcribed spacer 2, and large subunit ribosomal RNA". The stretch from base 2 to 119 matches the Rfam family "5.8S ribosomal RNA", at positions 37 to 154 of the family's 154-position model. The record is from RNAcentral.
GUGAAGAACGUAGUGAAAUGCGAUAAGUAGUGUGAAUUGCAGAAUUCAGUGAAUCAUCGAAUCUUUGAACGCACAUUGCGCCCUUUGGUAUUCCUUAGGGCAUGCCUGUUCGAGCGUCAUUUAAACCUUCAAGCUCAGCUUGGUGUUGGGUGACUGUCCGCUUCACCGCGGACUCGCCUCAAAAUUAUUGGCGGCCGGUACAUUGGCUCUCGAGCGCAGCAGAAACGCGUAACUCGAGGUCCUCGUGCUGGCUCCCAGAAGCUAUCUUCACAAUUUUGACCUCGGAUCAGGUAGGGAUACCCGCUGAACUUAAGCAUAUCAAUAAGCGGAGGA